Molecule: ribosomal RNA, 496 nt
Filed under: uncultured bacterium
Lineage: Bacteria
Description: partial 16S ribosomal RNA
Rfam family: Bacterial small subunit ribosomal RNA
Source: RNAcentral
GAUGAACGCUGGCGGCGUGCCUAAUACAUGCAAGUCGAGCGAACAGACGAGGAGCUUGCUCCUCUGACGUUAGCGGCGGACGGGUGAGUAACACGUGGAUAACCUACCUAUAAGACUGGGAUAACUUCGGGAAACCGGAGCUAAUACCGGAUAAUAUAUUGAACCGCAUGGUUCAAUAGUGAAAGACGGUUUUGCUGUCACUUAUAGAUGGAUCCGCGCCGCAUUAGCUAGUUGGUAAGGUAACGGCUUACCAAGGCAACGAUGCGUAGCCGACCUGAGAGGGUGAUCGGCCACACUGGAACUGAGACACGGUCCAGACUCCUACGGGAGGCAGCAGUAGGGAAUCUUCCGCAAUGGGCGAAAGCCUGACGGAGCAACGCCGCGUGAGCGAUGAAGGUCUUCGGAUCGUAAAACGCUGUUAUUAGGGAAGAACAAAUGUGUAAGUAACGAUGCACGUCUUGACGGUACCUAAUCAGAAAGCCACGGCUAACUACGU